AUUUUGAAACUGAGUUUAGACUAAGAAGCAAACUGGUGGUCACGUUUUACUUUCAUUUACUCUGAUAUGGCAUCGAUUCAGAUAUCCAAGCAAAUUUUUAGUUAACAGAAGAUCACAGUUUGAUGUAACUGUACACAUUUCGAGUAAAGCAGCCCAAAUCUAGAGAAUAUUGUUCAGAUAGUCCCGUGCAUGAGGAGACCAAAGAAAUGAUAUCUUUAGAGGAUAGGAUGGGAACACCUGAAACGUGAUUAAUUCCAGGAAAGGAUUGCUCUUUUCCCCCUUCUUCUGUAAACUUUCAGGACUCUAAUACUGCUUGCUGCCGAGUGGAAAGAGACACCAAGCCUGCUUCGACUGACCUAGAAAGUAGAGAGGUGGGCGAAACUGCUGAGAAAGCAACGAAACACAGAAACAUGUUCUAUGUGUUUCUCUGAUCAGAGUUGAGAAGAACUCUCUAUCAAAUAGCCAGGAAUCAUCAGAGAGAGGGUUCUACAUUUCUUCAGUAACCGCUUCUGUGUUAUUCCAAGAUGCUCUGAUGAGAAACUGUGCAUCAGAAGAAUAAUUUUUCCAAUUAGAGAAACAAGCAGAAAAUAGUUUCCUUUCCUACAGCACCACACCAAUGCACAUUCUAAUGGCCUUAUUCUAACCACCACCUCCCACACCUGCUUCCUCUGGGUGGACAGCUCAUCUCCAUUUGCCUGAGACUUUCCAGUUGCAGCACUGACUGUCUUUAUCCCAGGAAAGGCCUCAGUGCCAGGUCCUGAGGUGGUUGGUCACCCUACAGACACGGGAUGGGGAUUUGGAGGAGAAAGAAGAAUGUGUCCUAUCUGGGAGGUUGCAGAAGACUUUCUUGCCAUGAGAGGAGACAGGAAAAGAAAAGGCAUGGAAAUGAGAUGAUGCUGGGCAAUUUGGGGGACCAGCAAGUAUGGCUCUAGAGAAGAAUCUAUGGGAAAAGAUAAAUUAAGAAGAUUAGACUGGGAGUACAUUAGGGAGAAGCUUAAAUGCCCAGAUCCAGACAUGGAAAUUUAUCUCAUAGGAAGUAAGAAGCCAUCAAAUGAUUUCAAGCAAUGGAGUGAUGUAAUUUAAAUGAAACCUUAUCUAUUAAGCCAUCAAACGAUUAGUUUCCCUUUUAAUUAUUUCAGUCCUAUGUUACUUUCUCAUUCAUUAACCAAAAAUAUCUUAAUAUUUAACUUUAUAAUCACACAAAAGUCUCCAUUUUAGGGACCACGUUGCACCUUCUUGUCUCUUUUCAUUAUCUAGAGUAGUUUUAAACUAACAGGGAUGGCAAAUUAAGCUUCUUAAUGAUUUUUAUGAAUUAAUAUUAUCGGAAUACUUACUGUCCAAUAUAUUGUGUAUUUUUAUUUGAAAAAGUGCUGUUGUUAGACACCCUUCAAAAAAGGUAACAUAAUGAAAGAUUUAUAAAGUGGUAAUACCACUUUAGUUAUUUUUUUUCCUCCGUAGAUAAGCAGAUAUUUUUUCCCAGUGUAAAUAAAAUAAAUACUAAGGGUGGGAUAUUUCAAAAAGUUUAUAUUUGGUGUGCUCUUAAGCUUUUAGGGGUGAUAUUUGGUGACAUUUUAGAUUCUUCCUUACUAUGUCAGAUGGGACUUCAUUCAGAAAAUAAUCAAAACCACUUUCUGUCUAUAAAUCCCCAAGUGUGCUGAGGAAAAGUUAUCUUCAGUCUGUUGAAUCAUCAGUGAAUAAAGGCUAUUGUUCCUCUCUGA
This is a long non-coding RNA of Felis catus (domestic cat), 1718 nucleotides long. RefSeq lists it as uncharacterized. The record is from RefSeq and is a predicted model, not a curated record. NCBI's taxonomy places the organism in Eukaryota, Metazoa, Chordata, Mammalia, Carnivora, Felidae. The transcript is spliced from 4 exons.